Molecule: ribosomal RNA, 484 nt
Filed under: uncultured bacterium
Lineage: Bacteria
Description: partial 16S ribosomal RNA
Rfam family: Bacterial small subunit ribosomal RNA
Source: RNAcentral
AUUGAACGCUGGCGGCAGGCCUAACACAUGCAAGUCGAGCGGAUGAAGGGAGCUUGCUCCUGGAUUCAGCGGCGGACGGGUGAGUAAUGCCUAGGAAUCUGCCUGGUAGUGGGGGAUAACGUCCGGAAACGGGCGCUAAUACCGCAUACGUCCUGAGGGAGAAAGUGGGGGAUCUUCGGACCUCACGCUAUCAGAUGAGCCUAGGUCGGAUUAGCUAGUUGGUGGGGUAAAGGCCUACCAAGGCGACGAUCCGUAACUGGUCUGAGAGGAUGAUCACUCACACUGGAACUGAGACACGGUCCAGACUCCUACGGGAGGCAGCAGUGGGGAAUAUUGGACAAAGGGCGAAAGCCUGAUCCAGCCAUGCCGCGUGUGUGAAGAAGGUCUUCGGAUUGUAAAGCACUUUAAGUUGGGAGGAAGGGCAGUAAGUUAAUACCUUGCUGUUUUGACGUUACCAACAGAAUAAGCACCGGCUAACUUCGUG